GGGUGUGAGGGUGAUCCGGCUGCGACAUCUGUCACCCCACUGAUCCCCAGGGUUGGCCUGGCUGGCUCGGCGGGUGUGCGCUUCCUCCCUGUCCCACGUGCAUCUCUCCGGUGAUCCACGCUGCGUUGUCAAAGAGGGCGACUGUUCCCGAUAGAGGAGGCUGUUGUUUGGUCAGGGGUAUACCCGUAGCUGUGCUCUCCUGCUGGGACCCCCACACAAACCCUCAAGGUCCAUUUGUGGAAAGGAGGGUAGUCAGACUCCCAAGGCUCCACAUGUCCCAAGGCACAUCCAAAUGACGUGCUGCGUGUGGCAAUCUGCCUUCCUUU
RNAcentral lists this small nuclear RNA (326 nucleotides) under Panthera tigris altaica (Amur tiger). RNAcentral describes it as "7SK RNA (ENSPTIG00000001228.1)". It matches the Rfam family "7SK RNA". Rfam says of the family: 7SK was discovered as an abundant small nuclear RNA in the mid-70s but a possible function has only recently been suggested. Two independent studies have found that 7SK RNA binds the CDK9/cyclin T complex (known as elongation factor P-TEFb). P-TEFb activates transcription by phosphorylating the C-terminal domain of RNA polymerase II. Lineage: Eukaryota; Metazoa; Chordata; Mammalia; Carnivora; Felidae. The record is from Rfam by way of RNAcentral.